This 486-nucleotide ribosomal RNA is filed under the name Fusarium sp. MS386a. RNAcentral describes it as "eukaryotic LSU rRNA". The stretch from base 140 to 293 matches the Rfam family "5.8S ribosomal RNA". Lineage: Eukaryota; Fungi; Ascomycota; Sordariomycetes; Hypocreales; Nectriaceae. The record is from RNAcentral.
ACUCCCAAACCCCUGUGAACAUACCUUAUUGUUGCCUCGGCGGAUCAGCCCGCUCCCCGUAAAACGGGACGGCCCGCCAGAGGACCCAAACUCUAUUGUAUUUAGUGUAUCUUCUGAGUAACACAAACAAAUAAAUCAAAACUUUCAACAACGGAUCUCUUGGUUCUGGCAUCGAUGAAGAACGCAGCAAAAUGCGAUAAGUAAUGUGAAUUGCAGAAUUCAGUGAAUCAUCGAAUCUUUGAACGCACAUUGCGCCCGCCAGUAUUCUGGCGGGCAUGCCUGUUCGAGCGUCAUUUCAACCCUCAAACCCCCGGGUUUGGUGUUGGGGAUCGGAUUGCUAGUCAAUCCGUCUCCGAAAUCUAGUGGCGGUCUCGCUGCAGCCUCCAUUGCGUAGUAGCUAACACCUCGCAACUGGAACGCGGCGCGGCCAUGCCGUUAAACACCCAACUUCUGAAUGUUGACCUCGGAUCAGGUAGGAAUACCCGC